This 352-nucleotide ribosomal RNA is filed under the name uncultured bacterium. RNAcentral describes it as "bacterial SSU rRNA". It matches the Rfam family "Bacterial small subunit ribosomal RNA", at positions 444 to 793 of the family's 1533-position model. The record is from RNAcentral.
CACGUAUGAGAGUAACUGUUCAUACGUUAACGGUAUUUAACCAGAAAGUCACGGCUAACUACGUGCCAGCAGCCGCGGUAAUACGUAGGUGGCAAGCGUUAUCCGGAUUUAUUGGGCGUAAAGAGAGUGCAGGCGGUUUUCUAAGUCUGAUGUGAAAGACCUUCGGCUUAACCGGAGAAGUGCAUCGGAAACUGGAUAACUUGAGUGCAGAAGAGGGUAGUGGAACUCCAUGUGUAGCGGUGGAAUGCGUAGAUAUAUGGAAGAACACCAGUGGCGAAGGCGGCUACCUGGUCUGCAACUGACGCUGAGACUCGAAAGCAUGGGUAGCGAACAGGAUUAGAUACCCUGGUAG